GAUGAACGCUGGCGGCGUGCCUAAUACAUGCAAGUCGUGCGAAUGGAUUAAGAGCUUGCUCUUAUGAAGUUAGCGGCGGACGGGUGAGUAACACGUGGGUAACCUGCCCAUAAGACUGGGAUAACUCCGGGAAACCGGGGCUAAUACCGGAUAACAUUUUGAACCGCAUGGUUCGAAAUUGAAAGGCGGCUUCGGCUGUCACUUAUGGAUGGACCCGCGUCGCAUUAGCUAGUUGGUGAGGUAACGGCUCACCAAGGCAACGAUGCGUAGACGACCUGAGAGGGUGAUCGGCCACACUGGGACUGAGACACGGCCCAGACUCCUACGGGAGGCAGCAGUAGGGAAUCUUCCGCAAGGGACGAAAGUCUGACGGAGCAACGCCGCGUGAGUGAUGAAGGCUUUCGGGUCGUAAAACUCUGUUGUUAGGGAAGAACAAGUGCUAGUUGAAUAAGCUGGCACCUUGACGGUACCUAACCAGAAAGCCACGGCUAACUACGUGCCAGCCGCCGUAAUAC
RNAcentral lists this ribosomal RNA (515 nucleotides) under uncultured bacterium. RNAcentral's name for it is "partial 16S ribosomal RNA". It matches the Rfam family "Bacterial small subunit ribosomal RNA", at positions 28 to 526 of the family's 1533-position model. The record is from RNAcentral.